UGCGUAGGCGGGUCUUUAAGUCAGGGGUGAAAUCCUGGAGCUCAACUCCAGAACUGCCUUUGAUACUGAAGAUCUUGAGUUCGGGAGAGGUGAGUGGAACUGCGAGUGUAGAGGUGAAAUUCGUAGAUAUUCGCAAGAACACCAGUGGCGAAGGCGGCUCACUGGCCCGAUACUGACGCUGAUGCACGAAAGCGUGGGGAGCAAACA
This 207-nucleotide ribosomal RNA is filed under the name uncultured bacterium. RNAcentral describes it as "partial 16S ribosomal RNA". It matches the Rfam family "Bacterial small subunit ribosomal RNA", at positions 568 to 774 of the family's 1533-position model. The record is from RNAcentral.